RNAcentral lists this ribosomal RNA (253 nucleotides) under uncultured bacterium. RNAcentral describes it as "partial 16S ribosomal RNA". It matches the Rfam family "Bacterial small subunit ribosomal RNA", at positions 524 to 776 of the family's 1533-position model. The record is from RNAcentral.
UACGGAGGGGGCUAGCGUUGUUCGGAAUUACUGGGCGUAAAGCGCACGUAGGCGGCUUUGUAAGUUAGAGGUGAAAGCCCAGGGCUUAACCCUGGAAUUGCCUUUAAGACUGCAUCGCUAGAAUUGUGGAGAGGUAAGUGGAAUUCCGAGUGUAGAGGUGAAAUUCGUAGAUAUUCGGAAGAACACCAGUGGCGAAGGCGACUUACUGGACACAUAUUGACGCUGAGGCGCGAAAGCUAGGGGAGCAAACGGG